UUCAUCGUCAGCUCAUUUUGUAUAUGUAUGAAUUAUGAUGCGAGUUACUCNUUGUAGUAUUGCUUGUACAUAUUUAUACAUUUAUUUGCAAGAUGUUGUCGGCGUGCACUUCUCCCCUAGUAGGACGUCGCGACCCGUUGGGUGUCGGUCUACGACCCAGGUNGGGAGACUUNUAAUNUUUUUAUAAUAUUAAAGACCCUUGGUGUUUUCUGACCGGCUGCCCGGCGGUAUUCGUACGGUAUUAAGCCGCAUUUANUNUUGCGUCCAUGUCCAUCGCAAGCGAGGCUAAUCUCUGGCAGUACGGACCUAGUGCCGUCGCUGGAAUUGGCCAGCUGUUGGUUGUAUGGAAUUCUAGGACUG
This 360-nucleotide ribosomal RNA is filed under the name Heterospilus sp. MAS-2010. RNAcentral describes it as "eukaryotic LSU rRNA". Lineage: Eukaryota; Metazoa; Arthropoda; Insecta; Hymenoptera; Braconidae. The record is from RNAcentral.